UACGGGGGGGGCAAGCGUUGUUCGGAAUUACUGGGCGUAAAGGGCGCGUAGGCGGUUUGCUAAGUUGGAUGUGAAAACUCUGGGCUUAACCCAGAGCCUGCAUCCAAAACUGGCAAACUUGAGUACUGGAGGGGAAAGCGGAAUUCCUGGUGUAGCGGUGAAAUGCGUAGAUAUCUGGAGGAACACCGGUGGCGAAGGCGGCAUCCUGGACCGACACUGACGCUGAGGAGCGAAAGCCAGGGGAGCAAACGGG
This 253-nucleotide ribosomal RNA is filed under the name uncultured bacterium. RNAcentral's name for it is "partial 16S ribosomal RNA". It matches the Rfam family "Bacterial small subunit ribosomal RNA", at positions 524 to 776 of the family's 1533-position model. The record is from RNAcentral.